This 624-nucleotide ribosomal RNA is filed under the name Tricholoma fulvocastaneum. RNAcentral describes it as "eukaryotic LSU rRNA". The stretch from base 221 to 374 matches the Rfam family "5.8S ribosomal RNA". The record is from RNAcentral. Lineage: Eukaryota; Fungi; Basidiomycota; Agaricomycetes; Agaricales; Tricholomataceae.
UCCGUAGGUGAACCUGCGGAAGGAUCAUUAUUGAAUCAAGCUUGGUUAGGUUGUUGCUGGCUCUCUGGGGGCAUGUGCAUGCCUGACACCAAUCUUUUCACCACCUGUGCACCUUUUUAGUAGACCUGGAUAAUAUUUCUAGGUUUAUGUACUUUCACAUACUCAAUAUGCUUAGAAUGUUAUUUUCAUAAGGGCUUGAUUGCCUUUCAGACCUUUAUACAACUUUCAACAACGGAUCUCUUGGCUCUCGCAUCGAUGAAGAACGCAGCGAAAUGCGAUAAGUAAUGUGAAUUGCAGAAUUCAGUGAAUCAUUGAAUCUUUGAACGCACCUUGCGCUCCUUGGUAUUCCGAGGAGCAUGCCUGUUUGAGUGUCAUGAAAAUCUCAACCUUUUCAAUUUUGUUGAAUUAGGCUUGGAUUUUUUGGGAGUAGUUGCAGGCUUCUCAGAAGUCUGCUCUCCUUAAAUGUAUUAGCGGGGCCCUUGCUGUCUAGCAUUUUGGUGUGAUAAUUAUCUACGCCAUUGUGAACAGCAUAAUAAGGAGUACAGCUUCUAGCAACCUCUGACUUUUUGACCUCAAAUCAGGUAGGACUACCCGCUGGACUUAAGCAUAUCAAUAAGCGGAGGA